RNAcentral lists this ribosomal RNA (430 nucleotides) under uncultured bacterium. RNAcentral's name for it is "bacterial SSU rRNA". It matches the Rfam family "Bacterial small subunit ribosomal RNA", at positions 791 to 1217 of the family's 1533-position model. The record is from RNAcentral.
CAGUCCACGCUGUAAACGAUGAACACUAGACGCUGGGAGGGUCUACCUUUCGGUGUCGCAGCUAACGCGUUAAGUGUUCCGCCUGGGGAGUACAGCCGCAAGGUUGAAACUCAAAGGAAUUGACGGGGGCCCGCACAAGCGGUGGAGCAUGUGGUUUAAUUCGAUGCAACGCGCAGAACCUUACCUGCCUUUGACAGCCGGGGAACUUGACUGAGAGGUCGAGGUGCCGCAAGGAACCCCGAGACAGGUGCUGCAUGGCUGUCGUCAGCUCGUGUCGUGAGAUGUUGGGUUAAGUCCCGCAACGAGCGCAACCCUUGUCCCUAGUUGCCAGCGGUUCGGCCGGGAACUCUAGGGAGACUGCCGGUGAUAAACCGGGAGGAAGGUGGGGAUGACGUCAAGUCAUCAUGGGCCUUUAUGGGGCAGGGGCUAC